CGUUAAUAAUAUUCCGAGAGAGAAUUAUUCCCAAGAGAGAGUCCAUAACCUCACUUACUUAAUAUGUCAUUUGACAGCAUGAUGACAUUAGAUGUAUAAAUAAGCAGCGAGAUUAUGUAUUGACAUAGAAAGAUUAUAUAAGCAGCCCAGAAUAGCUACACAAUGUCAAAAUCAUAAGCAUAUGAAAAAAUCACAAAAUUCACACAGCAUAAAGAAGAGAAAGCACUACAGUUUCAAGCAUAAAUGUGAUGCUCAAUUAACUCUCUGGGAAAGUAAUGUCUUCGACAUCAAUAAAUGCCUCGAUGAUGAAGACUCCACAUAAUACUCAUAAUCUGUGAUCUAAUCCCAAAGGACACAGCAUGUUCCAUACAUACUGGGCAUCAAAACCUCUGAGACAAGAUGCAUCAAUGGAGCCAUUAUUCACCCUCAGAUGACAAUAUACACAAGCAGAUCCAAUUGUCAUAUGUGUCAAUUAUUAAUUAUUGUCUACUCACUUAGUGAAAUUUCAACAUAUAUCAUAUGAUAGUAUAUUCCACUAAUUAUUCAUAAACGACUAGCAAAUUCAAUGUCGUCUAAUAUUAGUACAUAAACAGCAGUGUCCAUAAAAGGAAAACCCUGCAUCCGAACAUGGCAAACUGUCAGGCUAUUUCCAUUUACAUAUGACACAUUCACAAGAAAUUAUGAUUUAUUGUCAAUCAUCAAUUAACACUCACGUUUUCUGAAUAUAAGUUAUCUUAUAUUUAACUUUAAAUUAGAUUAAGUUUAAAUUCAGUUCUUAAUGAAGUCCAGAUAAUUCACCAAUUACAGUACAUGAUAUAUUAUUAGUUUAAUCUGAAUAGUAUAAUUGUAAGCUAAAAUAAGUUAUAGUGAAAUAGCCUGAAGUUAAAUUACACUUCACAACAGUUAUUAAUUUCACUUAUCUUAUAUUUUCAGCACAGUACUUAAAGAGAACUCCACCUCAUAGCCUGCAAGUCAAUCCCAGGGAGGACAGCAAUUCCAUUCAAUCAGGACACCAUGACCUCUGACACGAUUCCAAAUGCAUCAACGGGGCCAUUAAUCAUCCUUCAGUGACAGAUGUACAUCCUCCGCUCCAACAGUCACUUAUCACACAUGUCUUGCGUAACAUAUAUCAAUUAUUUAGUUCAAUCAGCUUCCUUGUAAAUUUGUCGACGCACUUAGUAUGUAUCAAGCAUAUAAUAUAAUAUGACACAUGAUAUUAAAUUCCAGUCAGUAUUCUUAACAAAGUUAAUUCAAUAAGUAAACAAGAGAGUAAACUUAUCCUAUUUUAUUUAUUUUAAAUUCAAAUAUUGUAAUGUUCUCGAUACUGUAGAAAUAUUUAUAAUCUAACACUUAGUUAUAAACCAUAUAUUAAUAUGCUAAAGUUUCUGGUUUAUUUCAGGAUACCACACCGGAGCACAAUUACAGCCUAUAUAUAGUUCCUUCAAUAUUUAAUGAGGAGGAAGAGAAGAAUAAUCAUUCUUUUAUCCUUAUAAAUGCUCAGUGUUGUUCAAUGCAUAAGUUAAACAAAACACUCAAGUAAGUCAUUUAUCUCAUUCUUGAAAACAUUCAUAUGCUGCAUAUAAAAGGAAGAAGAAGAAGAAAGAUCCUGCAACCACUCAAAAGUCUGCAACCUAUUUCCAUCUUGAGAUGACACGUCACAUAAUCAAGUUUAUCAGCAAUUAAUACACACAGUCGUUAAGAUAAUGCAUCGAAGUCCAUCACAGGCAAAAUUAAUGAGGAGAAAGAAAAGAAUAAUCUUUCUUUUAUCCUUAUAAAUGCUCAACAUUGUUCAAUGCACAAGUUAAACAAAACACUCAAGUAAGUCAUUUAUCUCAUUCUUGAAAAUAAUAAUCAUGUAUUGCAUAUGAAGGAAGAAGAAGAAAGAUCCUGCAACCACUCAAAAGUCUGCAACCUAUUUCCAUCUUGAGAUGACACGUCACAUAAAUCAAGUUUAUCCGCAAUUAAUACACACAGUUGUUGAGAGAACUAUGUCGUAAAAUCCGUACACAAGUCAUCCAAAACAGUAAUCAAUGUGCAAGACACUACUUUACUUUGCACAGAAGUAACAUAUGUUUUGGACCUCCAAAAAUUAUGAGUUAAGUUGCAAACUAUCUCCUAUUUUCGAUUGUUCAAGGAGAUUGAUUCACAUAAUAUAUUUUCUUCCACACAAUGUAUAUAAAUAUGCCUAUAAUAGGUUCCAAUUUGUUUCAGAAGAAUUAUCAGAAUCAACACAACACAACCAUUAAAUGCAUCCUAAUCUUCUAUUAUUUUAGUGUAUUAAGAAUUAACUUCCAAUAAAUCCUUUCAAAUAAGUAA
Nylanderia fulva is the source of this 2316-nucleotide non-coding RNA. The record is from RefSeq and is a predicted model, not a curated record. NCBI's taxonomy places the organism in Eukaryota, Metazoa, Arthropoda, Insecta, Hymenoptera, Formicidae.